GUAUUAAAGGUCCUGCCUGCCCAGUGAAGUAUUUUAAACGGCCGCGGUAUUCUAACCGUGCAAAGGUAGCGUAAUCAUUUGUCUUCCAAAUAAAGACCAGUAUGAAUGGCUAAAUGAGGACAAACCUGUCUCCUGCAACCCAUCAGUGAAACUGAUCUUCCAGUACAAAAGCUGGAAUAUAAACAUAAGACGAGAAGACCCUGUGGAGCUUAAAAUUCACCCACUAAUACAAACUAGUGAAAAAUUUUAAGUUGGGGCGACUUCGGAAUACAACAAAACUUCCGAGCACAGAACCACCAAUUCUAACCAAGGCAAACGAGCCUAAGAAAAACUGACCCAGUCAUACUGACCAACGAACCAAGUUACCCCAGGGAUAACAGCGCUAUCUUCUUCAAGAGUCCAUAUCGACAAGAAGGUUUACGACCUCGAUGUUGGAUCAGGGCACCCCGAUGGUGCAACCGCUAUUAAAGGUUCGUUUGUUCAACGAUUAACAGCCCUACGUGAUCUGAGU
Molecule: ribosomal RNA, 511 nt
Filed under: Gnypetoscincus queenslandiae (prickly forest skink)
Lineage: Eukaryota; Metazoa; Chordata; Lepidosauria; Squamata; Scincidae
Description: Concinnia queenslandiae (prickly forest skink) partial 16S ribosomal RNA
Rfam family: Bacterial large subunit ribosomal RNA
Source: RNAcentral